UACGAAGGGGGCUAGCGUUGUUCGGAAUUACUGGGCGUAAAGCGCGCGCAGGCGGUCUUCCAAGUCAGUGGUGAAAGCCUGGAGCUCAACUCCAGAACUGCCAUUGAAACUGUUAGACUUGAGUACGAGAGAGGUGAGUGGAAUUCCCAGUGUAGAGGUGAAAUUCGUAGAUAUUGGGAAGAACACCAGUGGCGAAGGCGGCUAUCUGGACCGUAACUGACGCUGAGGCGCGAAAGCGUGGGGAGCAAACAGG
Molecule: ribosomal RNA, 253 nt
Filed under: uncultured bacterium
Lineage: Bacteria
Description: partial 16S ribosomal RNA
Rfam family: Bacterial small subunit ribosomal RNA
Source: RNAcentral